This 440-nucleotide ribosomal RNA is filed under the name uncultured bacterium. RNAcentral's name for it is "bacterial SSU rRNA". It matches the Rfam family "Bacterial small subunit ribosomal RNA", at positions 338 to 795 of the family's 1533-position model. The record is from RNAcentral.
CCUACGGGCCGCACCAGUGGGGAAUAUUGGACAAUGGGCGCAAGCCUGAUCCAGCCAUGCCGCGUGAGUGAAGAAGGCCUUAGGGUUGUAAAGCUCUUCCACCGGUGAAGAUAACGACGGUAACCGGAGAAGAAGCCCCGGCUAACUUCGUGCCAGCAGCCGCGGUAAUACGAAGGGGGCUAGCGUUGUUCGGAAUUACUGGGCGUAAAGCGCGCGUAGGCGGAUAGAUAAGUCAGAGGUGAAAUCCCGGGGCUCAACCCCGGAAUUGCCUUUGAUACUGUUUAUCUUGAGUGCAGAAGAGGUAAGUGGAAUUCCGAGUGUAGAGGUGAAAUUCGUAGAUAUUCGGAGGAACACCAGUGGCGAAGGCGGCUUACUGGUCUGCAACUGACGCUGAGGCGCGAAAGCGUGGGGAGCAAACAGGAUUAGAUACCCCUGUAGUC